RNAcentral lists this ribosomal RNA (2313 nucleotides) under Klebsiella pneumoniae. RNAcentral's name for it is "bacterial LSU rRNA". It matches the Rfam family "Bacterial large subunit ribosomal RNA", at positions 399 to 2925 of the family's 2925-position model. Lineage: Bacteria; Pseudomonadati; Pseudomonadota; Gammaproteobacteria; Enterobacterales; Enterobacteriaceae. The record is from RNAcentral.
GUGAACUCGAAGAGUAGGGCGGGACACGUGGUAUCCUGUCUGAAUAUGGGGGGACCAUCCUCCAAGGCUAAAUACUCCUGACUGACCGAUAGUGAACCAGUACCGUGAGGGAAAGGCGAAAAGAACCCCGGCGAGGGGAGUGAAAAAGAACCUGAAACCGUGUACGUACAAGCAGUGGGAGCACCUUCGGGUGUGACUGCGUACCUUUUGUAUAAUGGGUCAGCGACUUAUAUUCUGUAGCAAGGUUAACCGUAUAGGGGAGCCGCAGGGAAACCGAGUCUUAACUGGGCGUUAAGUUGCAGGGUAUAGACCCGAAACCCGGUGAUCUAGCCAUGGGCAGGUUGAAGGUUGGGUAACACUAACUGGAGGACCGAACCGACUAAUGUUGAAAAAUUAGCGGAUGACUUGUGGCUGGGGGUGAAAGGCCAAUCAAACCGGGAGAUAGCUGGUUCUCCCCGAAAGCUAUUUAGGUAGCGCCUCGUGAACUCAUCUUCGGGGGUAGAGCACUGUUUCGGCUAGGGGGUCAUCCCGACUUACCAACCCGAUGCAAACUACGAAUACCGAAGAAUGUUAUCACGGGAGACACACGGCGGGUGCUAACGUCCGUCGUGAAGAGGGAAACAACCCAGACCGCCAGCUAAGGUCCCAAAGUCAUGGUUAAGUGGGAAACGAUGUGGGAAGGCACAGACAGCCAGGAUGUUGGCUUAGAAGCAGCCAUCAUUUAAAGAAAGCGUAAUAGCUCACUGGUCGAGUCGGCCUGCGCGGAAGAUGUAACGGGGCUAAACCAUGCACCGAAGCUGCGGCAGCGACACUAUGUGUUGUUGGGUAGGGGAGCGUUCUGUAAGCCUGUUAGCCGGGCGACGGUUGUCCCGGUUUAAGCAUGUAGGCUGGUUAUCCAGGCAAAUCCGGAUAAUCAAGGCUGAGGUGUGAUGACGAGGCACUACGGUGCUGAAGUAACAAAUGCCCUGCUUCCAGGAAAAGCCUCUAAGCAUCAGGUAACAUCAAAUCGUACCCCAAACCGACACAGGUGGUCAGGUAGAGAAUACCAAGGCGCUUGAGAGAACUCGGGUGAAGGAACUAGGCAAAAUGGUGCCGUAACUUCGGGAGAAGGCACGCUGGUGUGUAGGUGAAGUCCCUGCGGAUGGAGCUGAGACCAGUCGAAGAUACCAGCUGGCUGCAACUGUUUAUUAAAAACACAGCACUGUGCAAACACGAAAGUGGACGUAUACGGUGUGACGCCUGCCCGGUGCCGGAAGGUUAAUUGAUGGGGUUAUCCGUAAGGAGAAGCUCUUGAUCGAAGCCCCGGUAAACGGCGGCCGUAACUAUAACGGUCCUAAGGUAGCGAAAUUCCUUGUCGGGUAAGUUCCGACCUGCACGAAUGGCGUAAUGAUGGCCAGGCUGUCUCCACCCGAGACUCAGUGAAAUUGAACUCGCUGUGAAGAUGCAGUGUACCCGCGGCAAGACGGAAAGACCCCGUGAACCUUUACUAUAGCUUGACACUGAACAUUGAGCCUUGAUGUGUAGGAUAGGUGGGAGGCUUUGAAGCGUGGACGCCAGUCUGCGUGGAGCCAACCUUGAAAUACCACCCUUUAAUGUUUGAUGUUCUAACGUUGGCCCCUNACCGGGGUUGCGGACAGUGUCUGGUGGGUAGUUUGACUGGGGCGGUCUCCUCCCAAAGCGUAACGGAGGAGCACGAAGGUUAGCUAAUCCUGGUCGGACAUCAGGAGGUUAGUGCAAUGGCAUAAGCUAGCUUGACUGCGAGCGUGACGGCGCGAGCAGGUGCGAAAGCAGGUCAUAGUGAUCCGGUGGUUCUGAAUGGAAGGGCCAUCGCUCAACGGAUAAAAGGUACUCCGGGGAUAACAGGCUGAUACCGCCCAAGAGUUCAUAUCGACGGCGGUGUUUGGCACCUCGAUGUCGGCUCAUCACAUCCUGGGGCUGAAGUAGGUCCCAAGGGUAUGGCUGUUCGCCAUUUAAAGUGGUACGCGAGCUGGGUUUAGAACGUCGUGAGACAGUUCGGUCCCUAUCUGCCGUGGGCGCUGGAGAAUUGAGGGGGGCUGCUCCUAGUACGAGAGGACCGGAGUGGACGCAUCACUGGUGUUCGGGUUGUCAUGCCAAUGGCACUGCCCGGUAGCUAAAUGCGGAAGAGAUAAGUGCUGAAAGCAUCUAAGCACGAAACUUGCCCCGAGAUGAGUUCUCCCUGAGACUUUAAGUCUCCUGAAGGAACGUUAAAGACGAUGACGUUGAUAGGCCGGGUGUGUAAGCGCAGCGAUGCGUUGAGCUAACCGGUACUAAUGAACCGUGAGGCUUAACCUU